UACGUAGGGACCAAGCGUUGUUCGGAUUUACUGGGCGUAAAGGGCGCGUAGGCGGCAUGACAAGUCACUUGUGAAAUCUCCGGGCUUAACUCGGAACGGCCAAGUGAUACUGUCACGCUAGAGUGCAGAAAGGGCAAUCGGAAUUCUUGGUGUAGCAGUGAAAUGCGUAGAGAUGCGGAGGAACACCGAUGGCGAAGGCAGCCCCCUGGGCCAAUACUGACGCUCAGGCACGAAAGCGUGGGGAGCAAACAGG
RNAcentral lists this ribosomal RNA (253 nucleotides) under uncultured bacterium. Its description in RNAcentral is "partial 16S ribosomal RNA". It matches the Rfam family "Bacterial small subunit ribosomal RNA", at positions 524 to 776 of the family's 1533-position model. The record is from RNAcentral.